RNAcentral lists this ribosomal RNA (459 nucleotides) under uncultured bacterium. RNAcentral describes it as "partial 16S ribosomal RNA". It matches the Rfam family "Bacterial small subunit ribosomal RNA", at positions 338 to 795 of the family's 1533-position model. The record is from RNAcentral.
CCUACGGGUGGCUGCAGUGAGGAAUAUUGGUCAAUGGAGGCGACUCUGAACCAGCCAAGUAGCGUGCAGGAAGACGGCCCUAUGGGUUGUAAACUUCUUUUGUCGGGGGGCAAACUGCGCCACGCGUGGCGUUUUGCGAGUACCCGAAGAAAAAGCAUCGGCUAACUCCGUGCCAGCAGCCGCGGUAAUACGGAGGAUGCGAGCGUUAUCCGGAUUUAUUGGGUUUAAAGGGGGCGCAGGCGGAAGCUCAAGCCGGCGGUAAAAUUGAGGGGCUCAACCUCUUCAAGCCGUGGAAACUGGUUGUCUUGAGUGAGUGAGAGGUAUGCGGAAUGCGUGGUGUAGCGGUGAAAUGCAUAGAUAUCACGAAGAACUCCGAUUGCGAAGGCAGCAUACCGUCGCUCAACUGACGCUCAUGCACGAAGGUGUGGGUAUCGAACAGGAUUAGAUACCCGAGUAGUC